GUCAGCAUCCACACCACCUGUAGCUCAGGCCAGGUAAUUCAUCUGAAGCAGCUUUGGGCCUGGCCAGUACUUGGAUGGGAGACCAACUAGGAAAGCUGGGCUACUGCUGGAA
Ribosomal RNA from Paramormyrops kingsleyae, 112 nucleotides. Lineage: Eukaryota; Metazoa; Chordata; Actinopteri; Osteoglossiformes; Mormyridae. The record is from Ensembl.